UGAGGAAUAUUGGUCAAUGGGCGGGAGCCUGAACCAGCCAAGUCGCGUGAAGGAAGGAGGAUCUAUGGUUCGUAAACUUCUUUUGCAGGGGAAUAAAGUGCAGGACGUGUCCUGUUUUGUAUGUACCCUGAGAAUAAGGAUCGGCUAACUCCGUGCCAGCAGCCGCGGUAAUACGGAGGAUCCGAGCGUUAUCCGGAUUUAUUGGGUUUAAAGGGUGCGUAGGUGGUUUGAUAAGUCAGCGGUGAAAGUCUGCAGCUUAACUGUAAAAAUGCCGUUGAAACUGUCGGACUUGAGUGUAAAUGAGGUAGGCGGAAUGCGUGGUGUAGCGGUGAAAUGCAUAGAUAUCACGCAGAACUCCGAUUGCGAAGGCAGCUUACUAAGCUACAACUGACACUGAAGCACGAAAGCGUGGGGA
RNAcentral lists this ribosomal RNA (415 nucleotides) under uncultured bacterium. Its description in RNAcentral is "bacterial SSU rRNA". It matches the Rfam family "Bacterial small subunit ribosomal RNA", at positions 355 to 767 of the family's 1533-position model. The record is from RNAcentral.